This 826-nucleotide ribosomal RNA is filed under the name uncultured bacterium. RNAcentral describes it as "bacterial SSU rRNA". It matches the Rfam family "Bacterial small subunit ribosomal RNA", at positions 35 to 865 of the family's 1533-position model. The record is from RNAcentral.
GCAGGCGGGACGCGACGUAAACGCUACAAGUCGUGCGCGUAAGCGGGUUUAGAGCUCGAUAGUAGAGCGGCGAACUGGCCCUCUAAGGUGACUAACCUGCCCCUGAGUGGGGAAUAACCUGCCGAAAGGUGGGCUAAUACCGCAUGGUCUCUUUGGGUUUCGGCCUGGAGAGUAAAGCAGUAAUGCGCUCGGGGAUGGGGUCACCUCCCAUUAGCUAGUUGGUGGGGUAACGGCCCACCAAGGCUACGAUGGGUAGCUGGACUGAGAGGUUGGCCAGCCACACUGGGACUGAGAUACGGCCCAGACUCCUACGGGGGGCAGCAGUCUAGAGGCUUUGACAAUGCCCGAAAGGGUGAUCAAGCGACGCCGCGUGCGGGAUGAAGGUCUUCGGAUUGUAAACCGCUUUUGUUUGGGGAGAAGGCCCUGCUCGUGAAGCAGGGAUUGGCGGUACCAGACGAAUAAGCCCCGGCUAACUCCGUGCCAGCAGCCGCGGUAAGACGGAGGGGGCAAGCGUUGUUCGGAAUUAUUGGGCGUAAAGGGCUCGUAGGCGGACCUGAAAGUCUGACGUGAAAUCUCCACCGCUCACCGGGGAGGGGCCGUUGGAUACUGCAGAUCUGGAGUUCGGUAGAGGGUCGUGGAAUUUCGGGUGUAGCGGUGGAAUGCGUAGAUAUCCGAAAGAACACCGGUGGCGAAGGCGGCGACCUGGGCCUGAACUGACGCUGAGGAGCGAAAGCUAGGGGAGCAAACGGGAUUAGAUACCCCGGUAGUCCUAGCUGUAAACGGUGGAUCUAGGUGGUGGGGGGGUAUCAAGGUUAACACUCAAAGA